This 885-nucleotide ribosomal RNA is filed under the name Bacillus sp. (in: firmicutes). Its description in RNAcentral is "bacterial SSU rRNA". It matches the Rfam family "Bacterial small subunit ribosomal RNA", at positions 64 to 934 of the family's 1533-position model. The record is from RNAcentral. Lineage: Bacteria; Bacillati; Bacillota; Bacilli; Caryophanales; Bacillaceae.
GAACGACCAUGGCAGCUUGCUCCGGAUGUUAGCGGCGGACGGGUGAGUAACACGUGGGUAACCUGCCUGUAAGACUGGGAAAACUCCGGGAAACCGGAGCUAAUACCGGAUAGUUCCUUGAACCGCAUGGUUCAAGGAUGAAAGACGGUUUCGGCUGUCACUUACAGAUGGACCCGCGGCGCAUUAGCUAGUUGGUGGGGUAAUGGCUCACCAAGGCGACGAUGCGUAGCCGACCUGAGAGGGUGAUCGGCCACACUGGGACUGAGACACGGCCCAGACUCCUACGGGAGGCAGCAGUAGGGAAUCUUCCGCAAUGGACGAAAGUCUGACGGAGCAACGCCGCGUGAGUGAUGAAGGUUUUCGGAUCGUAAAGCUCUGUUGUUAGGGAAGAACAAGUGCGAGAGUAACUGCUCGCACCUUGACGGUACCUAACCAGAAAGCCACGGCUAACUACGUGCCAGCAGCCGCGGUAAUACGUAGGUGGCAAGCGUUGUCCGGAAUUAUUGGGCGUAAAGGGCUCGCAGGCGGUUUCUUAAGUCUGAUGUGAAAGCCCCCGGCUCAACCGGGGAGGGUCAUUGGAAACUGGGAAACUUGAGUGCAGAAGAGGAGAGUGGAAUUCCACGUGUAGCGGUGAAAUGCGUAGAGAUGUGGAGGAACACCAGUGGCGAAGGCGACUCUCUGGUCUGUAACUGACGCUGAGGAGCGAAAGCGUGUGGAGCGAACAGGAUUAGAUACCCUGGUAGUCCACGCCGUAAACGAUGAGUGCUAAGUGUUAGGGGGUUUCCGCCCCUUAGUGCUGCAGCUAACGCAUUAAGCACUCCGCCUGGGGAGUACGGUCGCAAGACUGAAACUCAAAGGAAUUGACGGGGGCCCGCACAAGCGGUG